GGAUGAAGAACGUAGCGAAAUGCGAUACGUAAUGUGAAUUGCAGAAUUCAGUGAAUCAUCGAAUCUUUGAACGCAUAUUGCGCCUUCUGGUAUUCCGGAGGGCAUGCUUGUUUGAGUAUCAGUAACAACCUCAACUCUUCUUCAUUGCGGAGAAAGAGUUGGAUUUGAGCAUUUCCACAAGUUCGUCUUGGAGGAUUGCUUGAAAUAUGAGGUUCGGCCGGCAGUUGCCUGGGCUACAAGCAUUUCAUACUUAAUCCCGUCAAACGGAUUAUAUCCUUUGCUGCAGCCAACAUACAGGGUAACUUUGCCAGUGUUCCGACUGAUGCAGGAAAGUUGAGAACAGCUUUUUGCUUUCUCUUCUAAACUCGAUAUCAAAUCAAGUAAGACUACCCGCUGAACUUAAGCAUAUCAAUAAGCGGAGGA
Molecule: unclassified non-coding RNA, 423 nt
Filed under: soil metagenome
Description: partial contains 5.8S ribosomal RNA, internal transcribed spacer 2, and large subunit ribosomal RNA
Rfam family: 5.8S ribosomal RNA (bases 2-121)
Source: RNAcentral